UGACCUCAGGUCAGGCAAGGGUACCCCCUGAACUUAAGCAUAUCACUAAGGGGAGGAAGAGAAACUAACAAGGAUUCCCUCAGUAACGGCGAGUGAAGCGGGAAGAGCUCAAGCAUUGGAAUCUCCACAAGCUUCUUUCAUAUUGUGGCGAGUUGUAGUCUUUAUGGGAUGCGGGCCGUCGCAUGUCUUUGUGAUGGUGCAUGUUGUUCGCAAUGUGCAUUGUUGUUUGGCGCAGCACCGAGUUUCCUUGGAAGAGGACACCGGAGAGGGUGAGAGUCCCGUUGGUGCUACAUUAUUUGCGCUGAUGUGCGGUGUGUGGUCCGUUUAUUCUCUUGAGUCGGGUUGUUUGGGAAUGCAGCCCAAAGCCGGGUGGUAAACUGCAUCCAAGGCUAAAUACUGGCACGAGACCGAUAGCGAACAAGUACCGUGAGGGAAAGAUGAAAAGCACUUUGAAAAGAGAGUUAAACAGUACGUGAAACCGUUGACAGAGAAUCGCUUGCAGCUAGCAGAGACUGGGCGCGCCUUGUGAUCAGGGUUGGUGUUGUGCAUAACAGUGGUGCGGGGGGUGUUUUGUGUGCACUUGUUGCACAUAUGCGCCGCUGCGUUGCUGUUGUUGUGUGCUGCGCUGCCUGCACUCGCGGGGCGUGUCUGCCAGCAUGAGUUUUGUGUGUGAGAGACGGCGAUGCGAGGGCGCCCUUGUGCGUGGCGCAUCUGCUAUUUAUGUUUCUGUCGCACGCGGGACUGAGGAAUUUAUCGAUGCGGUGGCUUUGUUAUGUGGUCUUUGGCAUGGGUGCUGUUUUCGGCAUUGUGUUGCGCAGACUCUUGUUUUGGCAUGGGAGACUCGUUCUCUUGUGCUGUUGACAGAGUGUGUGCGGGCAGUGUUGGGAAUGUUGCGCUUGCCGCUUGGCGCACACCACCGGGGAGAUGCUGGCGACAGGGCUGC
This 943-nucleotide non-coding RNA is filed under the name Salpingoeca rosetta. RNAcentral describes it as "Salpingoeca sp. ATCC 50818 Eukaryotic large subunit ribosomal RNA". It matches the Rfam family "Eukaryotic large subunit ribosomal RNA", at positions 1 to 641 of the family's 3401-position model. Lineage: Eukaryota; Choanoflagellata; Craspedida; Salpingoecidae. The record is from Rfam by way of RNAcentral.